Molecule: ribosomal RNA, 90 nt
Filed under: uncultured bacterium
Lineage: Bacteria
Description: partial 16S ribosomal RNA
Source: RNAcentral
UAACUCCUGUCAUUUGUAGAACAAGUAGGGACGCAGUAACUACGCGUCCCUUGAUAGUAUCAGAAGAGGAAGGGACGGCUAACUCUGUGC